GGACCAAGGAGUCUAGCAUGUGCGCGAGUCAUUGGGAUUCUAAACUAAACCUAAAGGCGCAAUGAAAGUGAAGGUCUCGCCUCGCGCGGACCUAGGGAGGAUGGGCCGCGCCACGACGCGGCCCCGCACUCCCGGGGCGUCUCGUUCUCUUCUGAGAAGAGGCGCACCCAGAGCGUACACGCUGGGACCCGAAAGAUGGUGAACUAUGCCUGGUCAGGACGAAGUCAGGGGAAACCCUGAUGGAGGUCCGUAGCGAUUCUGACGUGCAAAUCGAUCGUCGGAACUGGGUAUAGGGGCGAAAGACUAAUCGAACCAUCUAGUAGCUGGUUCCCUCCGAAGUUUCCCUCAGGAUAGCUGGCGCUCGCUUUGCGAGUCUCAUCCGGUAAAGCGAAUGAUUAGAGGCAUUGGGGUCGAAACGGCCUCAACCUAUUCUCAAACUUUAAAUGGGUGAGAUCUCCGGCUUGCUCGAACGUGAAGCCGCGAGAUUCAUUCGAAAAAGGAUCAGAGUGCCAAGUGGGCCACUUUUGGUAAGCAGAACUGGCGCUGUGGGAUGAACCAAACGCAGAGUUAAAGCGCCUAAAUCGACGCUUAUGGGAUACCAUGAAAGGCGUU
Molecule: ribosomal RNA, 612 nt
Filed under: Bourdonnaisia sp. 2 MTM-2009
Lineage: Eukaryota; Metazoa; Arthropoda; Insecta; Coleoptera; Hydrophilidae
Description: eukaryotic LSU rRNA
Rfam family: Eukaryotic large subunit ribosomal RNA
Source: RNAcentral